UACGUAGGGGGCAAGCGUUGUCCGGAAUUAUUGGGCGUAAAGAGCGUGUAGGCAGCCCGAUUAGUCCGCUGUGAAAGUCCAGGGCUCAACCCUGGAAUGCCGGUGGAUACUGUCGGGCUAGAGUCCGGAAGGGGCGAGUGGAAUUCCUGGUGUAGCGGUGAAAUGCGCAGAUAUCAGGAGGAACACCAAUGGCGAAGGCAGCUCGCUGGGACGUGACUGACGCUGAGACGCGAAAGCGUGGGGAGCAAACAGG
RNAcentral lists this ribosomal RNA (253 nucleotides) under uncultured bacterium. RNAcentral's name for it is "partial 16S ribosomal RNA". It matches the Rfam family "Bacterial small subunit ribosomal RNA", at positions 524 to 776 of the family's 1533-position model. The record is from RNAcentral.